Molecule: long non-coding RNA, 300 nt
Filed under: Ananas comosus (pineapple)
Lineage: Eukaryota; Viridiplantae; Streptophyta; Magnoliopsida; Poales; Bromeliaceae
Description: long non-coding RNA (ACOM_LNC005267)
Source: RNAcentral
GUCUCCCCUAUAAAUAUGUAGCGUUGGGUUACAAGACAAUCAAAGUCAUACAAAUCUAUCAAUAACAAUAAAAUGUUCAACCCAAAACAACAUUAGAAACAUAAAGAUAAUAAACAGUACGAUAAAUUGAAUGAAGUUUACCUUAUUUUCCACAAGCAUAUAUCAAACAAAACCUCCAUUUUAAACAUUAUUCCCCACAAAAAAAAUAUUUGAAACCUCUAUUUUAUAAAAUUCUUUACCAUCAUUAGAAACAUUAACCAUAGCUCAACAUAACAUGUAAUAUACCGAACUUCUACAAUU